This 215-nucleotide long non-coding RNA is filed under the name Prunus persica (peach). RNAcentral's name for it is "long non-coding RNA (PPER_LNC007385)". The record is from RNAcentral. Lineage: Eukaryota; Viridiplantae; Streptophyta; Magnoliopsida; Rosales; Rosaceae.
UGGAAAUUGACAUGGAGCAAAAAGUCACAACUCUAGCCAGCUCAACUCCAAUGCGACCUAAAACAAAUCAAUUGUGGAGCUUUAGAUGGAGGGUGUUGGAUGAAAGCGAGAGUUCUUGUCAAGUCUUCUUCGUCUUCACAAACCCUCAAUUAUAUGUUAUUGACAUGUCAUGUCAUUAAACCCAAAUUCUAAAUUGUAGAAAUAUGGAAUGUAAC